Molecule: ribosomal RNA, 209 nt
Filed under: uncultured bacterium
Lineage: Bacteria
Description: partial 16S ribosomal RNA
Rfam family: Bacterial small subunit ribosomal RNA
Source: RNAcentral
UGCGUAGGUGGCGCCAUAAGUCGGGUGUGAAAUUUCGGAGCUUAACUCCGAAACUGCAUUCGAUACUGUGGUGCUUGAGGACUGGAGAGGAGACUGGAAUUUACGGUGUAGCAGUGAAAUGCGUAGAGAUCGUAAGGAAGACCAGUGGCGAAGGCGGGUCUCUGGACAGUUCCUGACACUGAGGCACGAAGGGCCAGGGGAGGCAAACG